This is a long non-coding RNA of Syngnathus acus (greater pipefish), 1119 nucleotides long. RefSeq lists it as uncharacterized. NCBI's taxonomy places the organism in Eukaryota, Metazoa, Chordata, Actinopteri, Syngnathiformes, Syngnathidae. The record is from RefSeq and is a predicted model, not a curated record. The transcript has 3 exons.
GCAGCCACCAUCGUCAAGCUGUGGGCGGAGUCAUCAGGAAUAGCUUCCUGUCGGCCAAUUAGAGGCUCGGGAAGAAGAUAGGAGGCGGAGCUUCCGGACCAAAUACUCUUCAAGAGGACUCUUACCCAUCCCCAUGUCGAAAAUUUCAGCCCUACAUCUUGCCCCAGAAAUCUGCUAUGAAAACACCAAAAGGGAGGUGCUGCUAAAUUUAGCAGGCCUUAUGUCCCGUGGGAAAAGACCGUCUCUGGCCACAGUGCUGUUUGAUUUACCAAAGAGAAGCUAUCGCUCACCUGUGGCUGAACCUGAGGGAAGUCCGACCUGUGCUCCACCUUCCAAGGAGCGUCCGAGAUGGCCGCGAGCGAGCCGCCCUUCCUGCAGGGCCGUUGACCCUCACAUGCGCCACUUCCAAUUACGGUCGCAGGUGAGAUGGGAGCUGCCACCAAAGUGUCCCUGCAGGCAGGCUGUGUGCAGUCCCCAGAUGCCUGACAGGAGAGAAACACUCCCGCAGACAGUGACAACAGAGCAAGCAUGCCCGGUGAACCGAGAGGAAUCAUGAGCAAAUUGAGAUGUUGCUCCUGGAAGCCGAAAGUGAUGUUUGUCCGACUUGGAGGUGUCUGUCUUGUUCUCGAUCUUUGCAAACUUCCACUCUUAUCGCUUUUCAGGAUGUGUUUCUUCUUUUAGCGUUGGCUGGAUUAUCCUCUGAUUUUAGAUUCUUCUGUAGUUGUCCCCCUACAAUUGAUUUUGUCAUCUCUUUUUUUUCUUCUUCAGUGCAUCUCCGUCUUGGUCAUCCUCUCUCUCUUGCUCUCACUCUGCUUUGGCUCUGAUUCCUCGAUAACUGUGACACUCUUUGCUGUCUGACACGGACUAAUGCACCUACCCCCCUGAUACGCACACACACGUGCACAUCCCACUAAUUCCGUAUAUUGGCUCUUCUAUGUUUAAUAUUUUUAACAAUAACAAAUUACAACAUGGGAUGCAAAUAAUGACAACCUAUAAUUCAUAUUGUAAGCGUUAAGGGAACAUUAAGCAUUAUUUUAUUCACUGUAUAAAUGUUAAAUUCCUUGGACGAUUAAUGGAUCACUGGAAUUUUACCCUGACAAAUAAACAAAUUCAAUAUUG